Molecule: unclassified non-coding RNA, 235 nt
Filed under: plant metagenome
Description: partial contains small subunit ribosomal RNA, internal transcribed spacer 1, and 5.8S ribosomal RNA
Source: RNAcentral
UUUCCGUAGGUGAACCUGCGGAAGGAUCAUUAACGAGUAAGGGUCAUUCUGGCCCGACCUCAAACCCUUUGUUUAAUUACUAUGUUGCUUUGGCGGGCCCGUUUCACGACAGCCGGAGGUUCUCGGACUUCUCGCCCGUGCCGGCCAAUAGCCUUACACAAACUCUUGAUCAGUUGUGAUUUCUGAGUAAAAAAUUUAAUAGUUAAAACUUUCAACAACGGAUCACUUGGUUCUG